Molecule: non-coding RNA, 125 nt
Organism: Agelaius phoeniceus (red-winged blackbird)
Lineage: Eukaryota; Metazoa; Chordata; Aves; Passeriformes; Icteridae
Source: RefSeq, a predicted model, not a curated record
CCGCGCUGCACCGAAUCAGCUGGAGCAUCACCCAGCCUUCUCUCCUGAUUUGGGAAGAGAUAAUGCAAGGGAACCUGAGGAAGGUGAAGAAGGAGAUGCAAAGAGGAGGAGCUUCAUACAGUUAA